AUGUGGGUGCUUGGGGUCCCAGAGCUGCUGGGAGAAGCUGUAUUGCCUGGGCACUGUGGGAUGCACAGAUAGCCCUUAAUAAUAAAUUGUUGGGUCCCCUGCUCUGCUACCAAUGCUGGCCUUCUGGACAAAUGCAAUGGAAAGAAAAAAGAAAGCUGAUCCUCUCUGAAGGCUCUAUCCCUUAGAAAUCCCUCCAAAGCUCUGGACCUGAGCAGUGCCAGAGAGACACCAAGUCCCUUCUGCUCGGCCAAAGCGUACCUUCAGAUUCAGCAUCACCAGUUAUACGGGCUCAUGCAGAGCUCAUGUUUCACUGCUGUCUUGUGCUAAUUUUUGGCAUCCAGGGAAUAGGCAGAAGUAGAUUGCCUGUGUCUAAUAGGUAGUUUAAGCUGUUAGAAAUGAUUUUCUGUUUAUUAAAUCUUAGUUGGUACCAUAGGUAUCUUCUACUUCCUCAGGUGAAGGGUUAAAAGCCUGUGUCACUGAUGCUAAUAUAAUGACAACAAUAGUAACAGACUUUGCCUCUCCUUCUGAAGGAGAAGCACUCUGGCCCUUAAAUCUGUCCCCUGUGGAGUAAAGUGUGCAAAUAGGUAGACUGUGUUAUGCAGUCAACAUGCUUUUGUUGUCUGCUUUGUGGUCCUUUCCCUCUUGACAACAGGGUGAGCCAUACUUCGGCCUUCUCUGGGAAGGUCCUCUGCCUCCAAACAGCUGUCACAGCUCUCGGCUAUUUCUGGUGUGACUCUGGGUUUCCAGCAUGUGGCUGAGGAUUUCCAGGAUGCUAACAGCUCCUAAAAGUGGGUGAAAUUAAAUAUUAGCAAUGAUAAAAAGAAAUUGUAAUGUAUUGACAUGACACUAGUAGCACCUGCAAGAACACUUCUCACAGUGCCUUGUCGCCCUGCCUGACACCUUUUGCAGUAAAACACCUGGGUUUUCACUUGAAAUCUGCCUUUGCAGAUUUGGAGGAGGGAAAACAAGAUGUUAGCACUGCAUUAGAAGUUCGCCUGCAACACCAGCAAAGACAGCUUUAAAACUGGCUCAGGGAGGCGAUGGGGAACCCCAGGAUGGGGACCAGUGGGGAUCUCCAGCAGCACACUGUUUCAGUGGGGGAAGCCAUUGAUCAAAGGGAGUAGAUAAAACUGGCCAAUGGGAACACUUGCUGACAUAUAUAUCUCGUUGAAGUUUGAACAGCAAGUCCCAGCAGGGAAGGCCUUAUCUGAAUACCAGCUUGCAUAACGGUAGCUAUGCCAGUCCUUAUUCCUUUUGGCUAAUUUGAAUGUAUUUAUUGGCAGAAGUCAGUGUUCGGAGAUAUUUGCCAAUUUUGAUAUUUUUAGGUGAGCUCCUUUGCAGCCAUCUUGCUCAUGCACCCUUCACCAUUACUUCUAAGCCUGAAUGCCAAGGGCAAGAAAGACUCUUCCAACCAGACCUCCCAGAGGGAGGCUCUGGUUAUACACUGGAGAGAUGCUUCACCAGAAGGCUGUGUGCAUUUUAAAACCUUGUCUGCUCCUCCUCUUGCCAUCAUCCUCCCAGUGUCUCCUCCCCGUUAACCUUUGCAUUAAUACCUGUGCAAUUCUAGCAGUUCGCAAGGCAGGUGCAGUUGUGCUAGGGCUGAUACGAGGUCCACAC
Molecule: long non-coding RNA, 1617 nt
Organism: Pezoporus occidentalis (night parrot)
Lineage: Eukaryota; Metazoa; Chordata; Aves; Psittaciformes; Psittacidae
Exons: 3
Source: RefSeq, a predicted model, not a curated record